This 253-nucleotide ribosomal RNA is filed under the name uncultured bacterium. RNAcentral's name for it is "partial 16S ribosomal RNA". It matches the Rfam family "Bacterial small subunit ribosomal RNA", at positions 524 to 776 of the family's 1533-position model. The record is from RNAcentral.
UACGUAGGGUCCGAGCGUUGUCCGGAGUUACUGGGCGUAAAGCGUGCGCAGGCGGUUUCUUAAGUCAGAUGUGAAAGCCCCGGGCUUAACCUGGGAACUGCGUUUGAAACUGGGAGACUUGAGUGUGGCAGAGGGGGGUGGAAUUCCACGUGUAGCAGUGAAAUGCGUAGAUAUGUGGAGGAACACCGAUGGCGAAGGCAGCCCCCUGGGUCAACACUGACGCUCAUGCACGAAAGCGUGGGGAGCAAACAGG